This 419-nucleotide long non-coding RNA is filed under the name Gallus gallus (chicken). RNAcentral describes it as "long non-coding RNA NONGGAT008708". Lineage: Eukaryota; Metazoa; Chordata; Aves; Galliformes; Phasianidae. The record is from RNAcentral.
CCUCAAAGGCCAUAGAACCAUGGAAUGGUUGGGUUGGAAGGGACCUCAAAGGCCAUAGAGCCAUAGAACAAUGUACCUCACAGCCCCCAGCCCCACCCCUGCCGUGGGUGGCUGCCCCCUGGCUCAGGCUGCUCAGGGUCCAUCCAUGGCCUUGGGUACCUCCAAGGAUUGGGGAACCACAGCUCUGGGCAGUGCCAGGGCCUCACUGCCUCUGGUGCUGUGUUCCCACAGCCAACCUGGGAAGAGGUGUGGUUCCCACGAGCAGUAGCAACAAAGGCAUGGAACUGAGGCUGCCUUCUGUCGGUGGCAGCUCAUCAAAGGGCCAGGAACAUCCAUAAAAUGAGCAGUGAAAUUACUUUGAAAGCUUUGGGUUUACUCAUUUUACUACCACAGGAAAAUGCUGCUGAUGUAUAUGCACA